UACAGAGGUCUCAAGCGUUGUUCGGAUUCAUUGGGCGUAAAGGGUGUGUAGGUGGCGCGCUAAGUCGGGUGUGAAAUUUCGGAGCUUAACUCCGAAACUGCAUUCGAUACUGGCGUGCUUGAGGACUGGAGAGGAGAUUGGAAUUUACGGUGUAGCAGUGAAAUGCGUAGAUAUCGUAAGGAAGACCAGUGGCGAAGGCGGAUCUCUGGACAGUUACUGACACUGAGGCACGAAGGCCAGGGGAGCAAACGGG
Molecule: ribosomal RNA, 253 nt
Filed under: uncultured bacterium
Lineage: Bacteria
Description: partial 16S ribosomal RNA
Rfam family: Bacterial small subunit ribosomal RNA
Source: RNAcentral